UACGUAGGUGACCAGCGUUGUUCGGAAUUACUGGGCGUAAAGGGCGCGUAGGCGGUCUGCUAAGUUGGAUGUGAAAACUCUGGGCUUAACCCAGAGCCUGCAUUCAAUACUGACAGGCUAGAGUUCUGGAGGGGAUAGCGGAAUUCCUGGUGUAGCGGUGAAAUGCGUAGAUAUCAGGAGGAACACCGGUGGCGAAGGCGGCUAUCUGGACAGAGUCUGACGCUGAGGCGCGAAAGCUAGGGGAGCAAACAGG
RNAcentral lists this ribosomal RNA (253 nucleotides) under uncultured bacterium. RNAcentral's name for it is "partial 16S ribosomal RNA". It matches the Rfam family "Bacterial small subunit ribosomal RNA", at positions 524 to 776 of the family's 1533-position model. The record is from RNAcentral.